RNAcentral lists this transfer RNA (84 nucleotides) under Ixodes scapularis (black-legged tick). RNAcentral describes it as "tRNA-Leu". It matches the Rfam family "tRNA". From Rfam's summary of the family: Transfer RNA (tRNA) molecules are approximately 80 nucleotides in length. Their secondary structure includes four short double-helical elements and three loops (D, anti-codon, and T loops). Further hydrogen bonds mediate the characteristic L-shaped molecular structure. tRNAs have two regions of fundamental functional importance: the anti-codon, which is responsible for specific mRNA codon recognition, and the 3' end, to which the tRNAs corresponding amino acid is attached (by aminoacyl-tRNA synthetases). tRNAs cope with the degeneracy of the genetic code in two manners: having more than one tRNA (with a specific anti-codon) for a particular amino acid; and 'wobble' base-pairing, i.e. permitting non-standard base-pairing at the 3rd anti-codon position. Lineage: Eukaryota; Metazoa; Arthropoda; Arachnida; Ixodida; Ixodidae. The record is from RNAcentral.
GUCAGGAUGGCCGAGUGGUCUAAGGCGCCAGACUCAAGUUCUGGUCCACAAUUGUGGGCGUGGGUUCGAACCCCACUCCUGACA